Molecule: ribosomal RNA, 253 nt
Filed under: uncultured bacterium
Lineage: Bacteria
Description: partial 16S ribosomal RNA
Rfam family: Bacterial small subunit ribosomal RNA
Source: RNAcentral
UACAGAGGUCUCAAGCGUUGUUCGGAUUCAUUGGGCGUAAAGGGUGCGUAGGCGGCGCGGUAGGUCGGGUGUGAAAUCUUGGAGCUUAACUCCGAAACUGCAUUCGAUACUGCCGUGCUUGAGGACUGGAGAGGAGACUGGAAUUUACGGUGUAGCGGUGAAAUGCGUAGAUAUCGUAAGGAAGACCAGUGGCGAAGGCGGGUCUCUGGACAGUUCUUGACGCUGAGGCACGAAGGUCAGGGGAGCAAACGGG